CGGGAGGCAGCAGUGGGGAAUAUUGCACAAUGGGCGAAAGCCUGAUGCAGCAACGCCGCGUGAGUGAUGAAGGCCUUCGGGUCGUAAAACCCUGUCCUCAAGGAAGAUAAUGACGGUACUUGAGGAGGAAGCCCCGGCUAACUACGUGCCAGCAGCCGCGGUAAUACGUAGGGGGCUAGCGUUAUCCGGAUUUACUGGGCGUAAAGGGUGCGUAGGCGGUCUUUCAAGUCAGGAGUGAAAGGCUACGGCUCAACCGUAGUAAGCUCUUGAAACUGGGAGACUUGAGUGCAGGAGAGGA
Molecule: ribosomal RNA, 298 nt
Filed under: Clostridioides difficile
Lineage: Bacteria; Bacillati; Bacillota; Clostridia; Peptostreptococcales; Peptostreptococcaceae
Description: partial 16S ribosomal RNA
Rfam family: Bacterial small subunit ribosomal RNA
Source: RNAcentral